GAUGAACGCUAGCGACAGGCUUAACACAUGCAAGUCGAGGGGCAGCGCGGUGGUAGCAAUACUACUGGCGGCGACCGGCGCACUGGUGAGUAACACGUAUGCGACCUGCCCCGGACAGGGGGAUAAACCCGGGAAACUGGGCCUAAUACCCCAUACGCCCAUUGAUCGCAUGGUCAGCGGGUGAAAGAUCCGUCGGUCCGGGAUGGGCAUGCGGCGCAUUAGCUGGUUGGCGGGGCAACGGCCCACCAAGGCGACGAUGCGUAGGGGUUCUGAGAGGAAGGUCCCCCACACUGGUACUGAGACACGGACCAGACUCCUACGGGAGGCAGCAGUGAGGAAUAUUGGUNCAUGGACGGUAGUCUGAACCCAGCCAGUCGCGUGCGGGAUGAAGGCCCUCCGGGUCGUAAACCGCUUUAGCCGGGGAGUAACGUGGGGGACGCGUCCCUCAGUGAGAGUACCCGGAGAAUAAGCAUCGGCUAACUCCGUGCCAGCAGCCGCGGUAAUACGGAGGAUGCGAGCGUUAUCCGGAUUUAUUGGGUUUAAAGGGUGCGCAGGCGGCAGGUCAAGUCAGCGGUAAAAUCUCGGCGCUCAACGCCGUUCGGCCGUUGAAACUGUCCGGCUCGAGUGCGUGGGAGGAUGGCGGAAUGCGCGGUGUAGCGGUGAAAUGCAUAGAUAUCGCGCAGAACCCCGAUUGCGAAGGCAGCUGUCCACCACGCCACUGACGCUUCCUGCACGAAAGCGUGGGUAAUCGAACAGGAAUGAGGAACCUUGGCCUGAAUGAUGCAGGAGUCCAAG
RNAcentral lists this ribosomal RNA (795 nucleotides) under uncultured bacterium. Its description in RNAcentral is "bacterial SSU rRNA". It matches the Rfam family "Bacterial small subunit ribosomal RNA", at positions 28 to 811 of the family's 1533-position model. The record is from RNAcentral.